CCAAUUUGUACUGCAGGUUGAUUCUUGCGGGAUAAUUGUGUAAAUUGUGAUUUUGAGAAAAUAAUGGUUUUGUCUAUGAUUAAUUAUUUUGUUAAGUGUCUAUAAUGUUGCAAGUCUAGCACUUUGGUGUCUGUAAUUGAAGAGCGUUACUGACUAGGUACAUUCCUGUCGAGCAAAUUCCCAUCCAGUAUGGUGGGCUUAAGAGAGACAUCGAUUUCGAGUUUUCAGCAGAAGACUGUACUGCUUCAGAGCUUAUUAUUAAGGCUACAUCUACAGUAACUAUUGAAAUACCUGCACCAGAGGCAGGAACCACAUUCAUCUGGGAUAUAACAGUUCUGGGCGGGGAUGUAAACUACAAAGAGGAAUUUGUCCCUGCCGACAAAUGCUCAUACACCAUCAUUGUUCAAAAGGAAAAGAAACUAGGUUCUGCUGAAGCACCGAUUCGCAAUAUAUUCAGGACUAAUGAAGCAGGGAAGAUUGUGCUUACUAUUGAGAAUUGCACCAACAAGAAGAAGAAAGUGUUUUACAGACACAAGGUCAAGAAGAGUGCUCUCUAAAAAAUCAUCAUGGUUACUAAAUUAUACUUGUUCAUUUGAAAGAGAAAAAUGUAAUAUAAUCUGGAUUACUUAUAUUUUGUUCAAUUUCUAUAUCAUUUUUAUAAAACUUCAUUCUUUUGGCUGUGGGACAAUCAUGUUGGGUAGAAAAUGGUUGGUUUGAUUGGGGUGAUAUGUGUGGAUUCAUGUAACAAUUUCAUGGUCCAGUUUAUUGUAUGUAAAAAUUAUUGUAACUUGUACA
Molecule: long non-coding RNA, 795 nt
Organism: Daucus carota subsp. sativus
Lineage: Eukaryota; Viridiplantae; Streptophyta; Magnoliopsida; Apiales; Apiaceae
Exons: 2
Source: RefSeq, a predicted model, not a curated record